Molecule: non-coding RNA, 87 nt
Organism: Mycena rebaudengoi
Lineage: Eukaryota; Fungi; Basidiomycota; Agaricomycetes; Agaricales; Mycenaceae
Source: the annotation of a GenBank genome assembly
GGCUUGGUAGCGCUGGGAGCGCGUCUGCGUCUGCUGUGGUUUGUACAACGAAUGCAGAAGGUGCCCGUUCGACUCGGGCCCAAGCCA